Molecule: long non-coding RNA, 274 nt
Organism: Pseudopipra pipra
Lineage: Eukaryota; Metazoa; Chordata; Aves; Passeriformes; Pipridae
Exons: 2
Source: RefSeq, a predicted model, not a curated record
CCAAAGUGCUGACCUCACAGGAGAGGGGAUGAGUGCAAGACUGUGGUGGUAGAUAUCCUGGGUUGCACAAGAUGCCCAAUCCAUCUUCAAGUGAUUCAGGAUAUCUGGAUUUGUGGGUUUCCAUCUGUGAUUUCUCUAAAAGGAAACUGCCACUAUUGGUGCAUUUGAAAGUUUUCAGGAGGAUACACAAUGGCUGCAUUACAACAAAGUCCAGGAUGGAAAAAGGAAGCUUUCCAACAUUUCAGAGUGGAAAUUAUGAAAAUUAGAAAGCUUC